Molecule: ribosomal RNA, 465 nt
Filed under: uncultured bacterium
Lineage: Bacteria
Description: partial 16S ribosomal RNA
Rfam family: Bacterial small subunit ribosomal RNA
Source: RNAcentral
GACGAACGCUGGCGGCGUGCUUAACACAUGCAAGUCGAACGGAAACGCCCUGCUUGUUGGGUACUCGCGUGGCGAACGGGUGAGUAACACGAGUGUGAUCUGCACUGCACUUUGGGAUAAGCUUGGUAAACGGAGCCUAAUAUCGGACAGGAGACCUUCUUAGUGCGAUGGUUGGAAAGCUUUUUCGGUGUUGGAUGAGCUCGCGCCCUAUCAGCUUGUUGGUGGGGUAAUGGCCUACCAGGGCGGCGACGGGUAGCCGGCCUGAGGGGGUGGACGGCCACAUUGGGACUGAGGGGCGGCCCAGGCGCGUACGGUUGGCAGAAGGGGGGAAUAUUGCACCAGGGGCGCCGGCCGGAUGCAGCGAGGCUGCGGGGUGUAAAACGGCCUUAGGGUGGUGAAAGGCAGUCGCGAGAGACGAAGCUUUUAGUGACGUUACCUGGAGAAGAAGCACCGGCUAACUACGUG